This 1346-nucleotide ribosomal RNA is filed under the name uncultured bacterium. RNAcentral's name for it is "partial 16S ribosomal RNA". It matches the Rfam family "Bacterial small subunit ribosomal RNA", at positions 28 to 1381 of the family's 1533-position model. The record is from RNAcentral.
GACGAACGCUGGCUGCGUGCUUAACACAUGCAAGUCGAACGGAAAGGCCCUGCUUUUGUGGGGUGCUCGAGUGGCGAACGGGUGAGUAACACGUGAGUAACCUGCCCUUGACUUUGGGAUAACUUCAGGAAACUGGGGCUAAUACCGGAUAGGAGCUCCUGCUGCAUGGUGGGGGUUGGAAAGUUUCGGCGGUUGGGGAUGGACUCGCGGCUUAUCAGCUUGUUGGUGGGGUAGUGGCUUACCAAGGCUUUGACGGGUAGCCGGCCUGAGAGGGUGACCGGCCACAUUGGGACUGAGAUACGGCCCAGACUCCUACGGGAGGCAGCAGUGGGGAAUAUUGCACAAUGGGCGGAAGCCUGAUGCAGCAACGCCGCGUGCGGGAUGACGGCCCUCGGGUUGUAAACCGCUUUCGCCUGUGACGAAGCGUGAGUGACGGUAAUGGGUAAAGAAGCACCGGCUAACUACGUGCCAGCAGCCGCGGUGAUACGUAGGGUGCGAGCGUUGUCCGGAUUUAUUGGGCGUAAAGGGCUCGUAGGUGGUUGAUCGCGUCGGAAGUGUAAUCUUGGGGCUUAACCCUGAGCGUGCUUUCGAUACGGGUUGACUUGAGGAAGGUAGGGGAGAAUGGAAUUCCUGGUGGAGCGGUGGAAUGCGCAGAUAUCAGGAGGAACACCAGUGGCGAAGGCGGUUCUCUGGGCCUUUCCUGACGCUGAGGAGCGAAAGCGUGGGGAGCGAACAGGCUUAGAUACCCUGGUAGUCCACGCUGUAAACGGUGGGUACUAGGUGUGGGGUCCAUUCCACGGGUUCCGUGCCGUAGCUAACGCUUUAAGUACCCCGCCUGGGGAGUACGGCCGCAAGGCUAAAACUCAAAGGAAUUGACGGGGCCCCGCACAAGCGGCGGAGCAUGCGGAUUAAUUCGAUGCAACGCGUAGAACCUUACCUGGGUUUGACAUGGAUCGGGAGUGCUCAGAGAUGGGUGUGCCUCUUUUGGGGUCGGUUCACAGGUGGUGCAUGGCUGUCGUCAGCUCGUGUCGUGAGAUGUUGGGUUAAGUCCCGCAACGAGCGCAACCCUUGUUCACUGUUGCCAGCACGUUAUGGUGGGGACUCAGUGGAGACCGCCGGGGUCAACUCGGAGGAAGGUGGGGAUGACGUCAAGUCAUCAUGCCCCUUAUGUCCAGGGCUUCACGCAUGCUACAAUGGCUGGUACAGAGAGUGGCGAGCCUGUGAGGGUGAGCGAAUCUCGGAAAGCCGGUCUCAGUUCGGAUUGGGGUCUGCAACUCGACCUCAUGAAGUCGGAGUCGCCAGUAAUCGCAGAUCAGCAACGCUGCGGUGAAUACGUUCCCGGGGCU